RNAcentral lists this ribosomal RNA (454 nucleotides) under uncultured bacterium. Its description in RNAcentral is "bacterial SSU rRNA". It matches the Rfam family "Bacterial small subunit ribosomal RNA", at positions 340 to 784 of the family's 1533-position model. The record is from RNAcentral.
UACGGAAGGCAGCAGUGGGGAAUAUUGCACAAUGGGCGCAAGCCUGAUGCAGCCAUGCCGCGUGUAUGAAGAAGGCCUUCGGGUUGUAAAGUACUUUCAGCGGGGAGGAAGGCGAUGUGGUUAAUAACCGCGUCGAUUGACGUUACCCGCAGAAGAAGCACCGGCUAACUCCGUGCCAGCAGCCGCGGUAAUACGGAGGGUGCAAGCGUUAAUCGGAAUUACUGGGCGUAAAGCGCACGCAGGCGGUCUGUUAAGUCAGAUGUGAAAUCCCCGGGCUUAACCUGGGAACUGCAUUUUGAAACUGGCAGGCUUGAGUCUCGUAGAGGGGGUAGAAUUCCAGGUGUAGCGGUGAAAUGCGUAGAGAUCUGGAGGAAUACCGGUGGCGAAGGCGGCCCCUGGGACGAAGACUGACGCUCAGGUGCGAAAGCGUGGGGAGCAAACGAGGGAUUAGGAU